UCCAGGUGAGAUGCAGGGCCUGCUCU
RNAcentral lists this unclassified non-coding RNA (26 nucleotides) under Mus musculus (house mouse). RNAcentral describes it as "oocyte_clustered_small_RNA11130". Lineage: Eukaryota; Metazoa; Chordata; Mammalia; Rodentia; Muridae. The record is from RNAcentral.